UACAGAGGGUGCGAGCGUUAAUCGGAAUUACUGGGCGUAAAGCGCGCGUAGGCGGCUUGUUAAGUCGGAUGUGAAAUCCCUGGGCUCAACCUAGGCAUUGCAUUCGAUACUGGCAAGCUAGAGUAUGGGAGAGGAAGGUAGAAUUCCAGGUGUAGCGGUGAAAUGCGUAGAGAUCUGGAGGAAUACCGAUGGCGAAGGCAGCCUUCUGGCCUAAUACUGACGCUGAGGUGCGAAAGCAUGGGGAGCAAACAG
This 252-nucleotide ribosomal RNA is filed under the name uncultured bacterium. RNAcentral describes it as "partial 16S ribosomal RNA". It matches the Rfam family "Bacterial small subunit ribosomal RNA", at positions 524 to 775 of the family's 1533-position model. The record is from RNAcentral.